RNAcentral lists this non-coding RNA (29 nucleotides) under Homo sapiens (human). The record is from RNAcentral. Lineage: Eukaryota; Metazoa; Chordata; Mammalia; Primates; Hominidae.
UGCCUAUGCAUGAUGAAUGAAUGAAUUUC